This 1843-nucleotide long non-coding RNA is filed under the name Macaca fascicularis (crab-eating macaque). Its description in RNAcentral is "lncRNA (ENSMFAG00000063567.1)". Lineage: Eukaryota; Metazoa; Chordata; Mammalia; Primates; Cercopithecidae. The record is from RNAcentral.
ACAAAGGAAAAAACUAAUACAUAUACACGGAGAUUUUGUGGAAGAAAAAAAUGGAUCAAACUUAAGCAAAAAACUGGGAAGGAUCUUGGUAAAAGAUAUGUCAGAAGGAAGUAAUAUUCUUUAAGAUAUUCUUAGAAAUUCAUCGGACAGGCGGGGUGUGGUGGUUCACGCCCAUAAUCCCUGUACUUUGGGAGGCAGAGGUGGGUGGAUCACUUGAGGUCAGGAGUUUGAGACCAGCCUGGUUAACAUGGUGAAACCCCGUCUCUACUAAAAAUACAAAAAUUAGCCGGGUGCGGUGGCAUACUCGGGAGGCUGAGGCAGGAGAAUCACCUGAACCUUGGAGACAUAGGUUGCAGUGAGCUGAGAUCAUACCGCUCCACUCCAGCCGGGCCACUGAGUGAGACUGUCUCAAAACAAACAAAUGAACAAACAAAAAGAAGAGAAACUCAUCAGACAAAGAGAGGAAAAAAAUGAGCAAAGGAAAUCAGCAGAUGUUUCAUUGAAGGACAGAGAGAAAUGGUCAAUACAUGGAUGAAAACAUGUUUAACUUCAGUAAUAAUCAAAUAAUAAUCCCUGUGUUCCUGGGCGAGUCAGUGCCAUGUGAGGUGUUGGCAGCCACUUUGGCUGAGCUGGACGGGUGCCUACAGCUGCUUGAGGACAAGUUCCUGUGGGACCAGGCCUUCCUUACUGGGUCCCAUAUCUCUGUGGCUGACUUGGUGGCAAUCAUGGAGCUGAUGCAUCCCAUCAGCGCUGGCUGCUGAGUCUUUGAAAGCAGACCCACAAUGGCAGCAUGGCGCCCAAUGUGUGGAGACUGCAGUGGGGGAGGACCUCUUCCAGGAGGCCCUCGCAGCUGUCCUGAAGGCCAAAGACCUGCCUCCAGUAGAACCUGCUGUUAAAGAGAAUCUGAAGCCCUUAAUGCAGCUUUUCUUACUGUGCGUGCGUGUCCCGGACUUGCUGAGCCACUGAGGUGAUGCUGUGUUAGUAGAAUCAAGACAUGGAGCGUCUGUCUCCUUGGUUGUAAAGAAGACAUACCUGCACAGGCUCUGGUCCACAGUUCCUCCAGGUAUCAUGCCUGCAUUCCUUUUGUCUCCUACCCCAUUCCUUUCUAGCUUCCAUGCGACCUCUGAAAACAGCUUUGGCCAACACUUAUUUGACCCUGUCCUUCUGUGUGGAACUUUCUAUGGUUCUUCACUGCCCAGAGGCUAAAGUACAAGUCAUUGAACUUUGCAUUCAAGGCCUUGUUCCCACUCCUCCAGGUGGCCCCUUCUGCCUGCACAUUUUUAUACCCCUCUCUGGGCUCCCACCUUGGCUUCUGCUCAUGCUGUUCCCUCAUCUUUGCCUGGUGCCCUUCCUGGUCUUUUGGCAUUUGGCACCGUCUCUUCUCCAAGGAGACUUCCCUGAACUCCCCAACCCCAGUUCAGGUCAGAUGACCUCUCUGGGCACCUCAGCCCCAGGGUUUCCUUGCGGGGGAUACCCCUGGACUGAGCAUGUAUCAUAGAUGAGGGGUGACCUGGUGAAAAGAUGUCUGAAUCAGGAUCAGCCUUGGUCUCCUAGGUCUCUCUCCUCACUGAAGGGCGAUGUGUCCCACAAGUGGGGUGCAGGGCUGGUUCGUGGACCUCCUUGCAGGAAGGGAAGUCCCUGGCGAUUUCCUGGCCCUCUCUCAUGCCUCCUCAUCACCUUGACCACAGUCUUCUCUACACCCCACUCCCUGACCACUGGCUUGUCCAUGCCCCACACCUGGUCCCAGACUUGCCACCUGUCCCUGCCCUCUUCCUUAGGACUGUCAUAUUUACCUGUCAUGUGUCUCAGACCUUCUGAUAUCUGAGUCAUCUAAUAAACUGCU